AUUGAACGCUGGCGGCAUGCCUUACACAUGCAAGUCGAACGGUAACAGGUCUUCGGAUGCUGACGAGUGGCGAACGGGUGAGUAAUACAUCGGAACGUGCCCAGACGUGGGGGAUAACGAGGCGAAAGCUUUGCUAAUACCGCAUACGAUCUAAGGAUGAAAGCAGGGGACCGCAAGGCCUUGCGCGUUUGGAGCGGCCGAUGGCAGAUUAGGUAGUUGGUGGGAUAAAAGCUUACCAAGCCGACGAUCUGUAGCUGGUCUGAGAGGACGACCAGCCACACUGGGACUGAGACACGGCCCAGACUCCUACGGGAGGCAGCAGUGGGGAAUUUUGGACAAUGGGCGAAAGCCUGAUCCAGCAAUGCCGCGUGUAGGAUGAAGGCCUUCGGGUUGUAAACUGCUUUUGUACGGAACGAAAAGGCUCUGGCUAAUACCUGGGGCACAUGACGGUACCGUAAGAAUAAGCACCGGCUAACUACGUG
Molecule: ribosomal RNA, 482 nt
Filed under: uncultured bacterium
Lineage: Bacteria
Description: partial 16S ribosomal RNA
Rfam family: Bacterial small subunit ribosomal RNA
Source: RNAcentral